UACGUAGGGGGCAAGCGUUAUCCGGAAUUACUGGGUGUAAAGGGAGCGUAGACGGUAAUGUAAGUCUGGAGUGAAAGGCGGGGGCCCAACCCCCGGACUGCUCUGGAAACUAUGUUACUAGAGUGCAGGAGAGGUAAGCGGAAUUCCUAGUGUAGCGGUGAAAUGCGUAGAUAUUAGGAGGAACACCAGUGGCGAAGGCGGCUUACUGGACUGUAACUGACGUUGAGGCUCGAAAGCGUGGGGAGCUAACAGG
This 253-nucleotide ribosomal RNA is filed under the name uncultured bacterium. Its description in RNAcentral is "partial 16S ribosomal RNA". It matches the Rfam family "Bacterial small subunit ribosomal RNA", at positions 524 to 776 of the family's 1533-position model. The record is from RNAcentral.